This 84-nucleotide transfer RNA is filed under the name Akkermansiaceae bacterium UBA1506. Its description in RNAcentral is "tRNA-Leu(caa)". It matches the Rfam family "tRNA". Rfam says of the family: Transfer RNA (tRNA) molecules are approximately 80 nucleotides in length. Lineage: Bacteria; Pseudomonadati; Verrucomicrobiota; Verrucomicrobiia; Verrucomicrobiales; Akkermansiaceae. The record is from RNAcentral.
UGCCGGUGUGGCGGAAUUGGUAGACGCGCGCGAUUCAAAAUCGCGUUUCUACGGAAGUGCGGGUUCGAUUCCCGCCGCCGGUAU